UGCCAGCCGCCGCGGUAAUACGGAGGGUGCAAGCGUUGUUCGGAAUUACUGGGCGUAAAGCGCGCGUAGGCGGCUUUUUAAGUCAGAUGUGAAAGUCCACGGCUCAACCGUGGAAGUGCAUUUGAAACUGGAAAGCUUGAGUAUCAGAGGGGAUGGUGGAAUUCCCGGUGUAGAGGUGAAAUUCGUAGAUAUCGGGAGGAAUACCGGUGGCGAAAGCGGCUAUCUGGACGGUGACUGACGCUGAGGCACGAAAGCAUAGGUAGCAAACAGGAUUAGAUA
This 279-nucleotide ribosomal RNA is filed under the name uncultured bacterium. Its description in RNAcentral is "partial 16S ribosomal RNA". It matches the Rfam family "Bacterial small subunit ribosomal RNA", at positions 506 to 784 of the family's 1533-position model. The record is from RNAcentral.